CUGAAGGAUUUUGAGCUGGGGAGUAAUAUCAGAUCUAGGUACUUUAUCCUUUUUUUUAACUUUAUAUUUUAGAAACAAACUUUAGAUUACUUAGAGAUUGCUUUAUGCUUUAGAAACAAACAUCAGCCCUAUUACACAGACACAAUUUUCAAGUCUGUGAUUUGUAUAAGAGAAGGACUAAAACCAAAAUAUCCAUCCAUCAGAAAAUAUUUAUUAAGCACCUACUAUGUGCCAGGCAUUGUGUGCUAGGUCCUGAGGGUACAAAGACAAAAGUGAGAUAGUCCCUGAUCUCAAGGAGCUUACAUUCUAGGGGGAUGCAACGUGUUCACAGAUAACUGAAACCUAGGUAAGAACAACUAAACCAAAUGCAUAUAAAAAGUAUAUGUGUUGAUAGAUAAAUGCAUAUGACAUAAGAUGUCAAAUUCAUACAGUUUUCUGAUGAUACUCAGGACAAGUCAUUGGUAUUAAAGUAAAAAAAAUUGUUUGCCAUAUAUUUUAAGAAAUUGUGCAAAUAGCUUAAAAAUAAGCCAAGUUCUUCUUAUUGGGAGAAUUGCUAUAAUGAUUCAUGUGUGCACAUCACAACGUUGUGCUCCAUAGAUCUUGGACACAAGAGCUUUGGGGAGACUGGCCAGGAUUCCGCUGUACUCUGGUCUUUCGAAUUUGUGGAGUAACUGGAUGCCCCAGAGUCACUUUCAAAUUUAUGAAGAAACAGAGGGCAUUACUGGGGCAUGUUUCUUGAUCACUGCCACAACUCCAUUAAUAGCAAGCACACUCUUUCUGAUUUGUAUUUCCAUGUGACUUAAAACGUUUACAGUCCUCUAGAAUUGAGUUCACAUUCUUAUCAUCAGGAAGAGAAAACAGCUGCUUUGUCUGGCAAUCAAAUAGCAGGCAUCAAGAAGCCCUAGUUUCAGAACUUCAGGAAUAGUUGCUUCAACCUCAACUCUGUCCUUUCAACUAGUCAGGUUCUUUCAGACCCAUCUACUGUAAGCUGGAUGAGCACUCACUGGUGCUUCUGCCUUCUACUGCAAUUAUGUUCGUUUGAUAUGGGGUUAAUCAGCAGGCACUGAUCAACAUAGUGGGAUUAUAAGGAUAUGGCCAUUUGGGAGGCCUUUUAUUAUGUGGGAAGGACUCUGAUUGUACUUCCUUGAUAGAUGAAACAUCCCCAUAAAGUAAGUAUCAAUUAUCAGAGGUGAUUUCAUUAAAUCAGACUACUAUAGAUCUAAGACUUAUUCUUUGACCUGGAAAGGGAGACAAGCCAAGAUGUGGAGAUCCAAAGAUCCAGAGAUGGAUAACAGAGUGAAGACCAAAGACCUGAGAAAGGACCUGGGACCCAAGAGUAAAAUCUAUCCUUCUACAUAUAGAUUCUUCAGGGAACUCAGCCUUCCCAAAGCAGUCCCAGAGAUAUGGCAGACUUGGAGAAAUAGUAGCAGGGCCUUUAUGCCCAAGGUCUAGCAAUAGAUGGGGGUCCAGGUGGGAGGGAGGAGUGGCAAUAGUUCUGGGACUCCAGGUUCUUGGAAAGGCAGUGAUGCAACUUCUCAACCUCAGAGAUGGUAGCCAUGGAGAGAAAAGCCACUAUGGGAGUUCUCCUAGAGGUGUACCAGGAUCAAGGGUGUGACCCUUCAAUUGGAUCGGUAGCAAUAGACUGAGCCACCAUACAGAGAAAUAAAACUUGGACUUUGUCAAAUUGACUAGUCAGUCAAUGAAUUCCUGUGGGAAGAGGGAUGCCUCCUGACCUUGUUUCCCCCUUUUGGUGGGAAAACAAGCCCUUAAAGUAUUACUCUAAGAUAGGAGACCUGUGUGGAUUCCUGGGAUAGAAAGGGGUACUCCCUAGACUGUAGGGAUUGAUUCUCUAAUAACCCCAAUUUCACAUUCUUUUUUUUUCUAGGGGUAGAAUAUAAACCCUUAGGAUAGUACUAUAAUGCUGCAGGGUUGUAUAGGUCCCUGGGGAAAAGGUGAAACUCACAGAAGAGGGGAAAGAGAAAUGUAUUGACUAUGUACAGCCUACUUGUGAGUCCUUUAUAUUGUUUUAAAUUUUCUAUGGAUUAAAAAAAGGGCUGUGCUACUUCUGAUAUGCAUUGUUACCUUGAAUGUUUACAUAGGAGCUGAGACCUUACCUUUCUCUCUGUAGAGAUCUAGAUAUGAGGUUCCCAGAAGCAAAAACAACAACAAAAAAUGUAAAGGUAUAUAACUUUCAGAAAGUGGACCCUCUAACAAAUGAAUAUAGUCCAUGUAAAACCAAAGCUUAGGAUUUUGGCUAAUGGUUUACAGGGACUUUUUUCCACAUUGAUACUGCAGAGGCCUCCAAACAGUAAGGGAUUCAUUCUUUAAAAAAAAAGAAAGAAAGAAAAAAGAAAAAUCACUUCCUUAUUUUUCAAUAUUGCAAACCGAAAGUCUUCUCUCCUACAACUUUAUUAUCUUCUCUUCUUCACAUUCCUAUUGAUGGUCUUUCUGAAGAUUUCUCCAGCCUAAUGUCCUGGUAUUUGAGGAUUCUGCUUUCUGGAACCCAUUUAUCUCAAUUUUUAUUCCAACUCCUGUGAGAUAAGAAGGAGUUUCUUUUUUUCCCCCACCUUUAUGGUGACAUAGGCACACACAUCUUCACAAAAGAGAGGUAUACAAAACCACAAGCCCCAGUUCACUCUCUGAUAAUUCAGCCUUGUGGGUCCUGUUUCGCCUUCUUCUCACCUUCCCUACUGCUAUGGGAGCCCCUGUUCCAUCUCAGUGGCAGUCUCAUAUCCUGGGUCUAUUUUUCUAGACAUCCCCAUCCCAAUCAACCUCAUUCAUUACAUUCUAAAACUGCUCUGCUCACCAAAUCUCUAAAUUUAGAAACUUCUUUCUCCACUUUCUAUGUUGGGAUCUGCCCUGAUUCAUUCUCCAAUUAUAAUUUUUUUUGCUUCUAUCCCUGAAUUUCCUUGGCUGGCACUGCUUUUUCCCUUUCUUACUUUGCCUAUCACACUCUUCAGAACCCAAGUGGAGGGUUUUUCAGGGCUUAUUUACACUAGGAGAGAGUAUAUUCAUAUUCAUGAAGAAGAAGGGAAAAUAAUUAAAGACUAGGUUAGAAAGCCUACGUAUGGUACCAUUUAGUCUGAUACUGCACCAUUUUCUUGAGAAAUUUCCUUAGGACAUUGUGUCUUCCUAGAAUGGAAGUUCACAGAGGGCAGUGAAUGUUUUCCUUUUUUCCUUUGUCUUUGUGUUCCUAACACUUAGUGCAAUACCUUGUACACAAUAGGUAUUUAAUAAAUGUUUGUCAAAUUGAAUUGCUUUAAAAAAAAAGCCAAUCCUCUCUAGACCAAGAGUAUGCAGCUCUUUUGUGGACACAACCCCAUUCAGAUUUGGGAGCAGCAGACCUACGAGUCCACUCUAUAUAUCCUUGGCUUUCUUAAGUUUGACCUUGGGAAGCCCUCCUUCCAUCUUUACCUCUAGUCUUCUCAGUCAGCUGAGCACAGGAUUUUGUGCCAUAUACAAAUUCUUCUCUUUUUAUUAUCAUAUUCUUAAUUCUGUGAUUUUUAAGCAUGGGUAUAAUUACUAGAAAACUUAGGAAGGGUGUAACUUUCAGAGCAGAGUUCAAUGACUGUAGAAAGACUGCAGGAGCUGUGGGGAAGCCAAGUAUUUCAAGGAACGUUAAAGACCACAGUGAAAUGGGAUCAGACUGGGACCCAAAUGUAAAAGGAAGUGGGCUCAAAAAUGAAAAAUGGCAGAAAGAAUUGACAAGCUGUUUCUGCAAACAGCCUAAUUAAUUCUCUACCUCACACCAAAAAGCCUAAAGACCCAUAGAGUAACCUGGCAACUGAAGGGCUUGUUGUGGAGUCUUGAAGCCACAAAAACACAACCUUGUACCAUGUUAAAUGGCAUGAAGGUGAAGAAAUUUGCCCAACUAAUAGAAGGAAGUAAACAAGCAUUUAUUAAGCUUCUACUAUGUGCCAGGUGCUACAUAUAUAACUUCAUUUGACCCUCGCCACAACCCUGAGAAGCAGAUACUAUUUUUUUUAAUAUAUUUUAUUUGAUCAUUUCCAAGCAUUAUUCGUUAAAGACAUAGAUCAUUUUCUUUUCCUCCCCCCCACCCCCCCAUAGCCGACGCGUAAGUCCACUGGGCAUUACAUGUUUUCUUGAUUUGAACCCAUUGCUAUGUUGAUAAUAUUUGCAUUAGAGUGUUCAUUUAGAGUCUCUCCUCUGUCAUGUCCCCUCAACCGCUGUAUUCUGGCAGUUGCUUUUCCUCGGUGUUUCCACUCCCAUAGUUUAUCCUUUGCUUAUGAAUAGUGUUUUUUUCUCCUGGAUCCCUGCAAAUUGUUCAGGGACAUUACACCGCCACUAAUGGAGAAGUCCAUUACGUUCGAUGAUACCACAGUGUAUUAGUCUCUGUGUACAAUGUUCUCCUGGUUCUGCUCCUCUCGCUCUGCAUCACUUCCUGGAGGUUGUUCCAGUCUCCAUGGAACUCCUCCACUAAGCAGAUACUAUUUUAUUCCCAUUUUACAGUUGAGGAAAUUAACUUUUUUGGCUAAAAAGGACUGCUUAGGUGAUUUGCCCGGAUCCCAGAGCUUAGUAAGUGUCUAAGUUUAGAUCUGAACUCAGAUCUUCCUGAUUCUAGGUGCAAUGCUCUCUAGCUACUGUGUCAUCUAACUUGACAUGCUUUAAUGGCCCAGGAACUUGUCUAGUUUAAGCCCCAUUGAAAACCUAUGGGCCCUAAUCAAGGCUAGACUGAGAAAAAUGGAUUGUCAUCAAAGGCAUCCUCAGUGAUAUAACAGCAUGACAACUCUUUUAGCCUCAAUGCCAAAUCAUGACAAACAAGUGAUGGCAGCGAAAGGGGACAUUGCAGAUUAAAAGCUUUUUAAAGAUAUAAAAAAGUUGUAGGGUUUGUAUAUACCAAAGAAUCUGAUUAUUUUGCUUUGUCCCAAUUUGCAUUCCAUCACACACAAAUAUAAGCAUUUAUUAAGUUCCUACUUUGUGUCAGGCACCAUGCUAAGCAUUAUCUCGUUUGAGCCUCAUAACAUUAUUAUGCCCAUUUUGGAGAUGAGCAAACUGACACUAAAGUGACUAACUCAUAAGCACGCAGUAAACAGAGUCUGUGCAUUUGCACAGUGCCCUACCCCUGUGACCCAGUUCCACCUACUUUGGGGAAGAGGCAAUGGUAGUUACCCAAGUUUAUCCACAGCUUUCUGAGAACAGGUCUGAAACUCGAGUUCCUAGCAAGAAAGGAGAGUCGUCAGGACCCUAAUGGAAUGUCCAGAGGAGCCCAUGACUGACGUAGCCCUGUGCUUGUUCAUGUGUCCCUUGAGAGAAGUUCCCAGGCAUGGAGGGAGGAAUCUCGGCACCCGGACAAUCCUGGACAAUCCAGGAGUCGAGGUUCCUUCCCGGAGAAGAGAAUCUGGCCAGUGCCAGCUUGGGAUGAUGUGAUGAAUAAUGCCAAGUUUGGGAGUUCGUGCAUCACACGGACCCUCCAAAGAGAAGUGAUUGGUUGCCCACACAGUUUGGGAACAGCAUCCUGCAGAGAACACCCCCCCCCCGACCUCCCCAUCUAAAGGACCAGGGUCACAUCACAGGGAAGGAGCAAGAGGGUGCCCUUUUCCCACCUCCACAGUCAAUGGGCUAGACAACGUGAGUCCAAUGGGAAGGGAGACGGCCACGGAACAGUUCCAAGGAUGUGUUUCUCUCAACUGAGCCCCAGUUUCUUCAGUUGUAAAAUGGGGAUCUUACAUAAUAGCACCUACCUCUUAGGAUUGUUGGGAGGAUAAAAGGAGAGGUUUGUAGAGCACUAAGCACAGUUCCUGACACACGGGUAGAUUCUUAAUAAAUACUUGUUCCUAUUCCUUCCCUCCUUCCCAUUACGCAUCUUCCUCUGCCAGGCCCUGGUCCAGGCACUGGGGAAAUAAAGACAAAAGGAAGUGGACCCGGGCCUCAAGGAGCUAAUGGUUUAGUACAAGAGUUUUUAACCUUUGUUUCUGGGUCAUGGCCCUCUUUGGCAUUCUAGUGAAACCUAAGUACCCUUUCUCAGAACAAUGUUUGAAAUCAUUGAAGGAAAUGCUAAGCCUAUGUUAGCUUCUUUCCCAUCCAAGUUCCCAGACCCCCUGAAAGUUACCCAUAGACCCCUGGGAGGUCCAGGGAGACACAUGUUAAGAACUCCGAUUUAGGGAGAAACUAUUCAUAAAUAAGUACAAAAGAUAAAAAAGAUAAAAGGAGAUUAAGGGGGAGGAGAAGAUACUAAUCACGAGACAAUGAGGGAAACUCCUGUAAAAGGUGAAAUUUUAGCUGAGCUUCAAAGGAAGCCUGGUGUUUUUAAAGAUGGAAGUAACAGGAAAACACACACUAAAGUCACUUGCGGAAAUUGGUGCAAAGAUGUGAAGGGAGGAAGAGUAUUUGGACAAAGAAGAACAAAAAGAGCAGUUUGGCUGAACCCCAGCUACAUGCCAGGGGAAGUAACGCAUAAUGUAGAAGAAUAUUAAAAACUUCCUUUUUUAGUACAACUGAAAAUGGUAAGAAAUAAUAUUUUCCUCUAAAAGGGCAGCCUAGACUCAGGAGCUUUUUCAGUUGUUUUUCAGUUAGAGCUGACUUUUUGGAACCCUGUUUGGUUUUAGGAGUUUUUUGCCAAAGAUACUGGAGUGGUUUGCCAUUUCCUUCUCCAGCUCAUUUGACAGAUGAGGAAACCGAGGCAACCAGGGUUAAGUGAUUUGUCAGGGUCACACUAAAAAAGUGCUGAGGCCAGAUUUGAACUCAGGAAGAUGAGUCUUCUUGACUCCAGGCCUGGGACUUUAUCCAUUGAGCCACCCAAGUUCAAAUGCAUCCUCAAACACUUAACCAGCUAUGUGACCCUGGGGAAGUCACUUAACCUCUAUCUGCCUCAGUUUCUUCAUCUGUGAAAUGGCAAUAAUAAUAGCACCUACCUCCUAGGGUUAUAUUGUGAGGACAAAAUGAAAUAUUUGUAAAAUGCUUCAAAAACCUUAAAGUGCUACAUAAAUGCCAGUUCUUCUGCUUAUUAUUAUAAUUAUUUCCAGACUCCUGGGAAAAGCUCUGUGAUAAGGUGAGUGAUAGGUAGAGAACAAAAGAGUUUUUCUUAUCAGAGUAAGGGCGCUAGUAAACAAAGAAUAACUCUUCUUUCUGUCAUUGCUGCUGUGCCCUUGAAACAAUUGAUACAAGGAUUCAGCCAAGUGAAGUACCUUCUGUCCCAUUGAAAGGGAGGUAUCCUUGCCACCUCCUAAUCUGAAAAGGUUCUCAGAAUUAACUCUUAUUAUCUCCUAUUUCCUAUUUCCUCAAGGGAAAUGGUCCAGGAGGAAAUGGGAAGGUGACUUGCAACAAUUCUAGAAUGUAAACCCAAACUGUAUUUUUACUUAUUGUGAUAUUUUCCUUGUUCAAGAUUUCUGUAAAUGGUAUCUGAAAUCAUCUUGGGGCAGAGAGUAAUGUUGGAAAGCAUGGGGGACUAUGGCAAUUUGGACAUCUCUCUCUCCAAGCUAGAAAUUUUAGAUAUUAGAUGAUUAUUAAAUUAAAGAAAAGGAUUUUGUGCAAACUUGAGCCUAAAAUUGCAGCUACUCUAGUAUUGUUUUUCUUUGAUGUUUAAAGUUUGCACUAGAUAAUGACUACAGUUCCUAAUCCUCACAGAAAGCCAGCAUGGGUCCAGGGCCACUUCUCUUUGAAAGACUUCUAUGGCCAGCUAAAAAGAAGUGUGUGGGGGGGAACCCUUUUCAACACGAAUAGGAAACUUUCCUGUGGGGAGCCAUCCCCAGCUUUGCCCCCAGCCCAUGCUUCGCCUCGUAGAGUAUGGCCAUUUGGGGGAAAGGCCAAGUCGGUCACAUAAAGUCAAAACGUUCUGAGGAUCAUGAACACGUCUAUUCACAUCCAUGCUGAUGGAAGCCUCCUGGGUUGUGUCUAGGAAGCCUUAUGUUAUGCCAGGAUAAACCCUUUAUUUAGCAACUUUAAAUCGUCUGUCUACAUUGGAGCUAAACCAAUGGUAGCCACAACUGACUGUCCCAUCAGGAAAAGGACUUUGUCUCUGAUAUCGAGGGAGAUUGUGCCUAAUCCCAUGAUCCUAAGUGCCAGGUAAGCUAUCCUUACCUUCUUCUUAGUGCUAGGCAGCAGCUCUCCUGGGACUUUCCAUGGGCUUCGUUGUUCAGAGGUUUUCUGGGAAUUCCACACAUUCCACAUAGACGCAUUUGUCAAAAGGACUCCAAGCUGGCAAAAAAAAAAAGAAGAAAGAAAAAAGAAAAAAAGAAAAAGAAAAAAGAAAAGAAAAAUGGUAAGCUUGAUAUUUUUCACUCUUAUGGCUUCGUUUGGUGUCUAUUCCUCAGUUUUGUAUUUAAGAUAUAAUGGUCUAAAGAAUGACUGAUCCUAAAAUUAGGAGAGCCUCCAUAGCAAAGUGUAGGGGACCACAAGAGCAUCCCCUGCCCCCUCCUAGCUCUACCAGUGCUUUACCAGAGGUACUUCUGGUUAUUUUGGAGUGCUUGACAGAAACUGGUCAUUGAACCCUCCUGAGAGUGGAUGUCCCUCAGAAUCAGGAUUGUUGACCCCUCAGCAAAGGGAAACAAAAUUAGAGAUGUCUGCACACGCAGAGAAAAAGAAAAGAAAAGAAAAAGAAUAGAUUUCCUGUUAUUAGGGAGCUGGUUUCAGGCUCCUGUUGUCAGUGAACUUUGAGAACAGGUAUUCCAUUAUGCAACUAGCAGUAGUACCGAGUGUCCGAGCUUGGAAAAGUUGAGGAAACCUCAGUUUGGGGAACAGAUCAUAUAAAAAUGGGACUGUCCCUGGAAAAGCUAGUAAUUAUGGCACACUUUAGAGAAAUGAAACGUGAAUUCUUGGUCAAUGUCAUUUGGCUAAAAUUGUUUUAAAGGAUCUGAUGGAAGAGUAUACUCUUGUGGAUUUUUGGCUAUGCCAAUGAAUGUUUUUAGCAAUGGAAAUAUUUCUCAUCUUUUCUGUAAGUCUAUGUUGUUCAGUAAAAAGAUGAUCAGUCCUUAAACAGAACUGAAGCCAGUUUAAAAGUUUUCUUUCCAGUAACUUCAAAAAAGACAGAACUAAAAAAAAAGAAAGAAAAGAAAAGAAAAGGUGUGGCUGUGUUUUGUUUUGUUUUGUUUUAAUUUCAAAGCUAAGCCCAUAACUCAGAUACCUAGUAGGUAUUUGUUCUUUUAAAUUUUCUCUUAUUUAAAUUAUCUUGAGGUAAAAAGCAAUUAAAGGGAGCAGCUGGGUGGCUCAAAGGAGAGAGAGCCAAACCUGGAGAUAGGAGGCCCUAGGUUCAACUUUGACUUCAGACACUUUCUGUGUGACCCUGAGCCAAGUCACUUAUCCCCCAUUGCCUAACCCUUAUGGCUCUCCUGCCUUAGAAUCAAUAUAUAGUAUUGAUUCUAAGAUGGAAGUUAAAGGAUAAAAAAACAAAAGGCAAGUAAUUUGGAAAAACAAGGACAAAAUUGGCAUUUUAAAAGUUUGGCUUGCCUGGCUACUGUGAGCUUUUGGAUGAUAAUGGCAGAAAAUACUUGUCUGUGUAAAUUAGAAGCAGUUACCUAAAGAGAAUUACAAUAUAGCAUUUAUUUACAAGUUGUUAAGUAACAUACCAAAUUGAAAGUUUUUUGCAGGGUCAAAUGAGAAAUUGCCAGUAAACCUGGACAUUUCGACUCAUCACCUAAAUGCAAAACUUUGAAACAGAUUUAUGAUAUAUAAAAAAAUUCUACUAAUUUGCAAAAGAAAACCUCAAUAGAAUAAAAAACUAGUUUUGAAAGUAAUUUGAAACAUAAUUCAAACACAUAAAAGAAAGAGAUUAAGAAAUAAACACUCUUAGAAAGUAAACUAAUGAAUAUAUAAAGAGAAAUGCAGUUCUGUGAUUUGGAAGACUCAGUAUGGGUUAACCAGUAGGAAAAAGAGUUAGAAAUGAUUAAUGUUGACAAUGAAAACUUGAAGCUCAACUAAAAGAAAAUGAGAAAUGUAUAAAAAUACUAUUUAAAGUAACAAAUGACAUAUGAAAAUACAACUCUGCUUAUAGAAGUAUGAAACGUCUCAAACUCAGAUGAGUGAGUGGCUUCAAUUUCUGGUUCCCCCAAAGCUCUCAAUCUCCAGCCAGUCAGCGCCAGUUUGUCUGGGAGUGUCCAGGUUAUACAGGGGGACUGUCAAGAGAGCUGUCUGCACACUGAGGAUGGGAAAAGCAUAUUGUGUGAAAUCUUCCAGCAUGGUGCCUGAAGGAGAGCCCUGCCUGUAGCAGUACACCAGAGUAAGAAGAGGUCCCCCAUCAGUCAAGGAGAAGCCUGAUUUUGUGCAGGGAAUAGCACCAGGUGCCAGCUGUAGCUGCCAAAGCAAUCAUAAAGGAAAUUCUAAAAGACUAUUGUAACCAUAUUACCAGCAAAUGACUGCUAAAAGCCAAUUUCUUCAAUGAGUUUUUGAAAUGAACUUUUUGCUCCAUAGAAACUUGAGGCAAAUGGACAAGGUAAUUGUGCUAGUAACCUCUCCUCUAGAAGAGACGUGCCACUCCAGAACAAAGAGACUAUAUCUUGGGAUAGUGUGUCCACCAACUUCUGGAUGAAAGACUAUGUAUGAAUGUCUGAUGGAUGCCUUUUUGGAAGUAACUAUGAAAAGAUCACCUGGAAAUGAGAAAUAUGAGGAACCAGCUGGACUUAUCUUAACUUGCCACUUGCUACCUCAGUGGACAGAAAUAUUUUCUUUAAAAAGAUGUGUGCUUGUAUACAAAAAUGUCUGUAAUGGCUUGUUUACAAAUUGUUACUAUUGAUGACCAUAUUCUUUACAAUGUCAUUAUGGUUCUGAUAUUGACAAGUUGAGAGAUACGGAAUCAUAUAGCUAUUUUGUUACAGGAUUUAAAAUUGGGAAAGAGGAUAAAUGGGUAUCAAAAAUUCUAUAUUGGAGAUAAGAAGAUGGACCACCUGUUAUCUCUCAACUGUUAUCUGAUAGUACUUGACUAGAUGACUAGAUUUGAUGAGACUAGCACCAGAAUGCCUUUACUAUUUAAAAGAAGUAAGGGAGAUUUAAUUGGAUGCUUUUGUGAUAGAACUAAACACUGUUGCUUCAGUCUGGAAUGUAUGCAAAGGUUUAGAAACCCCUAAUUGAUACAAUUAGAAGAGUCACUGUCCUUAUUACAAUAGCUUAAUGAACCAACACAAGGUGGGUUUGAGAAAGUUCCACAUUUCAUGAAUGAGGCUGGCUGAGGCAUUCCAGUGGAACAGAACAAUGCGUGAAGAUCAAGAAUUUCUUGAGUUACCAACUGUGAGCUAUACAUGAUGACCUCACUCGUCAGUAUUAGCCUGACAGUUCAAAGUAUCAAUAUCUUCUGACCUAUGUCCAUGGACUUAUGCCUAGAGGUUCUCAGCUUGGAAGAGCAGCCACUCACAAUGCACCUUCCACACCUAUGGCCUGAUGAUAGGUGUCUGGGUCUUGGCUCGGGUCCAUUGGGCACAGUGCAUGUGAGACUGAGCAGUCAGUCCAUAGAGAUGUGUGUGAACUCAAAUUCCCAGGGACCCUAGUUGGUUCACAAAAAGUAUUCUUGUAAUAAUGUCAGAUAUUUAGCUUGGAAUAAGAUAUAAAUGGACUUUCUAGCCUUUACAACCAUCCAGAUGCAAUGUGUGCACAACUUUGAGAUAAGGAUGCAGAUUUGUUGUGUUAAAUACAACAGUUUGUGUUGUGUGGAACAGAUAAUGGCAAGUUACACUCUCUAGAUGAAAGUUGUAGCUCUACACAUUUUUGAGGUUGUAGAACUGGAAGCUUUUGAAACUCGGGGAAUUGUUCUAAACAAAAUUCUUUAUCCCCCAAAUGUAUGAAAGGAAGCACAAAAUUUGGUGUGCUCUUUUUAUAUGAUUUAAAAUGAAUAUAAUUUUUGUAUGUCAAUACAUUUACUUUUGUGAUGGAGUAAAAUUUAAUAUAGUGGCUUAAUUUAUAUUCACUUUUAUUUAAAGGUGAAAAAUAGAGCUAAAUGGUAUAAAAUGUCAUUAAAACAAUCUAAUAUUGAUUAGAGAAAUGCAAAUUAAAACAACUCUGAGGUAGCACUUUACACCUAUCAGAUUGGCCAAAAUUGUAGGGGAUGUGGCAAAAUUGGGACACCAAUGCAUUGUUGGUGGAGUUGUGAACUGAUCCAACCAUUCUGGGGGGCAAUUUGGAACUAUGAACAAAGGACUAUAAAGCUGUGCAUACCCUUUGAUUCUAUAAUACCACUACUGGGUCUGCAUACCAAAGAGAUCAUAUAAAAGGAGAAAGGACCUACGUACACAAAAAUAUUUAUAGCAUUCUUUUUUGUGGGGGCAAACAUUUGGAAACAGAAAUGUCCAUCAACUAGGGGGAAUUUCUAGACAAAUUGGGGUAUAUGGUGUGCUAUAAGAAAUAAGCAAAAUUUCAGAAAAAGCUGGAAAGAACUGUUGAACUGAUGCAGAGCAAAAUAAGCAGAACCCAGAGAACAUUGUACACAGUUAACAACAAUAUUGUAUGAUGAUCAACUGUGAUAAGACUUAGUUACUCUCAGCAAUACAAUGACCAAUUUGGAAAUAUGUUUUGCUUGGUGAUAAAUGUAUAACCUAGAUCAAAAUUGCUUACCAACUCUGAGAGUAGGGUGAGAAGAAAGGGAGGGAAACAAUAUGGGUCUUAUAAUUGCAAAAAAAAAAAUGUAUGUUGAAAAUAGUCAAAUGUAAUUGGGAAAAUAUAUCUUUGAAUAAAAAAAUUUUUAAAUCUGA
Monodelphis domestica (gray short-tailed opossum) is the source of this 12629-nucleotide non-coding RNA. Lineage: Eukaryota; Metazoa; Chordata; Mammalia; Didelphimorphia; Didelphidae. The record is from RefSeq and is a predicted model, not a curated record.